CCUACGGGGGGCAGCAGUGAGGAAUUUUGGACAAUGGGCGCAAGCCUGAUCCAGCUAUUCCGCGUGUGGGAUGACGGCCCUCGGGUUGUAAACCACUUUAGUAGAGAACGAAAAGGAGCUAUCGAAUAAAUAGCUCUGCUGACGGUACUCUAAGAAUAAGCACCGGCUAACUACGUGCCAGCAGCCGCGGUAAUACGUAGGGUGCGAGCGUUAUCCGGAUUUAUUGGGUUUAAAGGGUGCGUAGGCGGGCUUUUAAGUCAGCGGUAAAAAUUCGGGGCUCAACCCCGUCCGGCCGUUGAAACUGG
This 305-nucleotide ribosomal RNA is filed under the name uncultured bacterium. RNAcentral's name for it is "bacterial SSU rRNA". It matches the Rfam family "Bacterial small subunit ribosomal RNA", at positions 338 to 636 of the family's 1533-position model. The record is from RNAcentral.